GGCGAAUAAAUACAAGUGAUCGUGGGGCAUUCCCCGAUUAAAUGAAUACAUUUCCAAAUACAAGAACUAAAACCAAACCGUUCAACUCAAAUUCCACAUUCAAACAAUCAACAAGAAAACUUAUUCCUAAAUUUUUGCCUACCCGAACCAACAUUCGCCUAUCCAUUUCAACAUAUCAUAAUUUUAUCACAUUCCAACAAUAUUCAUGCUCAUUACUAAUUAAACAAAACAACAAUAAACCAAAGCCAAUCUAAAUUCAACUUUUUUAUCAAUUUCUCAAUUUCAUCCCUCAAAGCCAUUUUUAACCACAUUAUUAAACCAAUUCGACUAUCAAAUCACUUUUCAAAAUCCGAAACCAACACACAUACCCCAACGAAGAUUCAAACAUUUAAGCAUACCAAUCAUUCAUAUCCACAACAACAAUUAACAUUUUGCUCGAAAUAUUCAAAACCGCACCACAAAAUCACGAUAUUAACCAACUUCGAUAUAAUAAAAAAGUAGAGUUGAGAGAUGGACCUUUGA
Molecule: long non-coding RNA, 522 nt
Filed under: Capsicum annuum
Lineage: Eukaryota; Viridiplantae; Streptophyta; Magnoliopsida; Solanales; Solanaceae
Description: long non-coding RNA (CANN_LNC021153)
Source: RNAcentral